Molecule: ribosomal RNA, 186 nt
Filed under: Cronobacter muytjensii
Lineage: Bacteria; Pseudomonadati; Pseudomonadota; Gammaproteobacteria; Enterobacterales; Enterobacteriaceae
Description: partial 23S ribosomal RNA
Rfam family: Bacterial large subunit ribosomal RNA
Source: RNAcentral
GAGAUAAGUGCGGAAAACAUCUAAGCACGAAACUUGCCCCGAGAUGAGUUCUCCCUGAGACUUUAAGUCUCCUGAAGGAACGUUGAAGACGACGACGUUGAUAGGCCGGGUGUGUAAGCGCAGCGAUGCGUUGAGCUAACCGGUACUAAUGAACCGUGAGGCUUAACCUUACAACGCCAAAGAAGU